AUGCCGUGGAGCAAGUCAGAUGAAUAAUGGCAAAGGUUGUAAAAUAAACAGCUGUGGUUUUGGCGAAGAGAAUGGCUUAAGCGGGAAAAUUGAGGCAAUAUGCUGCAAAGAAACUGAACACAAUUGGCCGUUUGGCUAAAAAUUUGGCUACGCGGAUGGAGCUUUGAUACCCCUAUGCACCAUAUCUGGAAAAGUUAAAAACAUACGUAUAGUUCUUAGUUGAGUGAGGGAUUCAUAGAAAUGUAACACAUUCUUUUGCAAUAAAGCUUAAAU
This is a non-coding RNA of Paramuricea clavata, 273 nucleotides long. The record is from the annotation of a GenBank genome assembly. Lineage: Eukaryota; Metazoa; Cnidaria; Anthozoa; Malacalcyonacea; Plexauridae.